Molecule: long non-coding RNA, 854 nt
Filed under: Trifolium pratense (red clover)
Lineage: Eukaryota; Viridiplantae; Streptophyta; Magnoliopsida; Fabales; Fabaceae
Description: long non-coding RNA (TPRA_LNC006006)
Source: RNAcentral
AAUUUUGGACGCCAAUAGCAUCUAUUUAGCGUCCACAAUAUCCAACACAAGUCUCUUUUUUGCAAUUGAUUUUUUUGUGCAACUUUAAAUCAGAAGAAUGGAAUCUAUCUACUGUUGACGCUAAUUAUUAUUUAAUUUAAUCUAUCUACCCUUCUUCGUUCGUGAUAGCAUUCGAUUACCGUUCUCUGUUCUCGAUCUGUUCAUCGUCGUUCGUAGUUCGUUUGGAUUUCUCUCUCAUCUCACUGCAAAAUCGUCUUUAUUGGUUAGUUUUCAUUCUCAUUGAAAUUACUUGGCACAUGUUAAUUUUGAAAUUGAUUUUGUUUUACCUAAAUCGUUUGGAUUUUUUUCAUUAGCAAGUACUGGCCUUGCAAUUUGCAAAGAGGUUAAUAAUAGUGUGAUUGUAGGGAGGUUUGUUAGUUCUGGAUUGUAUUGUUUGAGAUUGAGUGAGUUAGUGUUAUACAAGUGAUUAGCAGGCUAGGAGGUUUUGCAAUUUUAGUCAAUGUAAAAUGCAUUUCUUCGAUCAUCAUAUGUGUUCUCAAAGUGAUAUCAUAUGGUUUUCUGACAUUCUUCUAUGUUAUUAGACAGUGGAGGAAAUAGAUUUCACAUUCGUCCUGCUCAUUCUUGUUAAGAAAGCAGUUAAUUCAUCUUGAAGUUUGUUUUGUUUGAUCCUAGGUAGUUAGUUGGUUAGUCUAACUACCAAAAGUUGUUAGGAAUUAGUUAGGCCAAAGGUAGUUACUUGUAGCUUAAGUAACAAGUAUAAAUACACCUUAGUGUAUCAAUUGUAAUUCAACUUUUGGCCCAUUAAGGAUGAAUAAAAAUUUCUAUUUUCCCUAAGUCUUUCAUGUUCAGUUUUU